RNAcentral lists this ribosomal RNA (911 nucleotides) under uncultured marine bacterium. RNAcentral's name for it is "bacterial SSU rRNA". It matches the Rfam family "Bacterial small subunit ribosomal RNA", at positions 55 to 960 of the family's 1533-position model. The record is from RNAcentral.
AUGCAAGUCGAACGGUAACAUUGGUGCUUGCACCAGAUGACGAGUGGCGCACGGGUGCGUAACGCGUAUGCAACCUACCUUUUACUAGAGUAUAGCCCAGAGAAAUUUGGAUUAAUCCUCUAUAACAUCUUUUAAUUUCAUGAUUUUAAGAUUAAAGUUUUAACGGUAAAAGAUGGGCAUGCGUCCUAUUAGUUUGUAGGUGAGGUAACGGCUCACCUAGACUACGAUAGGUAGGGGCCCUGAGAGGGGGAUCCCCCACACUGGUACUGAGACACGGACCAGACUCCUACGGGAGGCAGCAGUAAGGAAUAUUGGACAAUGGACGAAAGUCUGAUCCAGCCAUGCCGCGUGCAGGAUGACAGCCCUACGGGUUGUAAACUGCUUUUAUACAGGAAGAAACACUCCGACGUGUCGGAGCUUGACGGUACUGUAAGAAUAAGGAUCGGCUAACUCCGUGCCAGCAGCCGCGGUAAUACGGAGGAUCCAAGCGUUAUCCGGAAUCAUUGGGUUUAAAGGGUCCGCAGGCUGUUUUUUAAGUCAGAGGUGAAAUCCUACAGCUCAACUGUAGAACUGCCUUUGAUACUGGAAAACUUGAGUUAUUGUGAAGUGGUUAGAAUGUGUGGUGUAGCGGUGAAAUGCAUAGAUAUCACACAGAAUACCGAUUGCGAAGGCAGAUCACUAACAAUAUACUGACGCUCAUGGACGAAAGCGUGGGGAGCGAACAGGAUUAGAUACCCUGGUAGUCCACGCCGUAAACGAUGGAUACUAGCUGUUCGUCUAACAUUGGUUAGAUGAGUGGCUAAGCGAAAGUGAUAAGUAUCCCACCUGGGGAGUACGGUCGCAAGACUGAAACUCAAAGGAAUUGACGGGGCCCGCACAAGCGGUGGAGCAUGUGUUUAAUUCGAUGAUAC